GCCCAGCUAGACGACAUAACGCAUCUGACUACGGAUCAGAAGGUUGGGGGUUCGAAUCCCUCCGGGCG
The sequence is a transfer RNA, 68 nucleotides long. It matches the Rfam family "tRNA". Rfam says of the family: Transfer RNA (tRNA) molecules are approximately 80 nucleotides in length. Their secondary structure includes four short double-helical elements and three loops (D, anti-codon, and T loops).